UGGGGAAUUUUGGACAAUGGGCGAAAGCCUGAUCCAGCAAUGCCGCGUGUGUGAAGAAGGCCUUCGGGUUGUAAAGCACUUUUGUCCGGAAAGAAAUCCUUGGCUCUAAUACAGUCGGGGGAUGACGGUACCGGAAGAAUAAGCACCGGCUAACUACGUGCCAGCAGCCGCGGUAAUACGUAGGGUGCAAGCGUUAAUCGGAAUUACUGGGCGUAAAGCGUGCGCAGGCGGUUUGCUAAGACCGAUGUGAAAUCCCCGGGCUCAACCUGGGAACUGCAUUGGUGACUGGCAGGCUAGAGUAUGGCAGAGGGGGGUAGAAUUCCACGUGUAGCAGUGAAAUGCGUAGAGAUGUGGAGGAAUACCGAUGGCGAAGGCAGCCCCCUGGGCCAAUACUGACGCUCAUGCACGAAAGCGUGGGGAGCAAACAGGAUUAGAUACCCCUGGUAGUCCACGCCCUAAACGAUGUCAACUAGUUGUUGGGGAUUCAUUUCCUUAGUAACGUAGCUAACGCGUGAAGUUGACCGCCUGGGGAGUACGGUCGCAAGAUUAAAACUCAAAUGAAUUGACGGGGUCAUAGCUGUUUCCU
This 586-nucleotide ribosomal RNA is filed under the name uncultured bacterium. RNAcentral describes it as "partial 16S ribosomal RNA". It matches the Rfam family "Bacterial small subunit ribosomal RNA", at positions 355 to 1375 of the family's 1533-position model. The record is from RNAcentral.